CUGGGUGUCAGUUACAUUAAAGGGACACUAUAGUCACCAGAACAACUACAGCUUAUUGAAUUUGUUCUGGUGAGUAGAAUCAUUACCUUCAGGCUUUUUGCUGUAAACACUGUCUUUUCAGAGAAAAUGCAGUGUUUACAUUACAGCCUAGUGAUAACUUCACUGGCCACUCCUUUAGAUAGCGGUUAGAGAUCCUUCCUGGGUCAUGGCUGCCUAAAAUGCAUCCAAACAUUCAGUGUCUCCUCCCUCUGCAUGCAAACACUGAACCUUCCUCAUAGAGAUUCAUUGAUUCAAUUAAUCUCUAUGAGGAGAUGCUGAUUGGCCAGGGCUGUGCUUGAAUUAUGCUGGCUCUGCCCCUGAUCUGCCUCCUUGUCAGUCUCAGCCAAUUCUAUGGGGAAGCAUUGUGAUUGGAUCAGGCCACCACUUCUGAUGAUGUCAGAGGUCAGAAUAAGUUCACAGGCAGAGGCAGCAGCUUCAGACUUGAAUACAAGUAAGAUUCUACUAUCUUUAGGGAGACAAAGGGGGCCAAGUGGGCUAGAUAGUGGUUUUAACACUAUAGGGUCAGGAAUACAUGUUUAAGCAUUAAAAUAAAUGUAUUUCAAGUCCCUUCACUCUUAUUGAAUAAACCUCUUACUGUAAUUAGCCCCAAAUUACUAAGGGCCAUC
Molecule: non-coding RNA, 665 nt
Organism: Pelobates cultripes (western spadefoot toad)
Lineage: Eukaryota; Metazoa; Chordata; Amphibia; Anura; Pelobatidae
Source: the annotation of a GenBank genome assembly